RNAcentral lists this ribosomal RNA (515 nucleotides) under uncultured bacterium. RNAcentral's name for it is "partial 16S ribosomal RNA". It matches the Rfam family "Bacterial small subunit ribosomal RNA", at positions 28 to 523 of the family's 1533-position model. The record is from RNAcentral.
GAUGAACGCUGGCGGCGUGCCUAAUACAUGCAAGUCGAGCGAAUGGAUUGAGAGCUUGCUCUUAUGAAGUUAGCGGCGGACGGGUGAGUAACACGUGGGUAACCUGCCCAUAAGACUGGGAUAACUCCGGGAAACCGGGGCUAAUACCGGAUAACAUUUUGAACCGCAUGGUUCGAAAUUGAAAGGCGGCUUCGGCUGUCACUUAUGGAUGGACCCGCGUCGCAUUAGCUAGUUGGUGAGGUAACGGCUCACCAAGGCAACGAUGCGUAGCCGACCUGGGAGGGUGAGCGGCAACACUGGGACUGAGACACGGCCCAGACUCCUACGGGGGGAAGCAGUAGGGAAUCUUCCGCAAUGGACGAAAGUCUGACGGAGCAACGCCGCGUGAGUGAUGAAGGCUUUCGGGUCGUAAAACUCUGUUGUUAGGGAAGAACAAGCGCUAGUUGAAUAAGCUGGCACCUUGACGGUACCUAACCAGAAAGCCACGGCUAACUACGUGCCAGCCGCCGCCGUAA